RNAcentral lists this ribosomal RNA (250 nucleotides) under uncultured prokaryote. RNAcentral's name for it is "partial 16S ribosomal RNA". It matches the Rfam family "Bacterial small subunit ribosomal RNA", at positions 524 to 773 of the family's 1533-position model. The record is from RNAcentral.
UACGGAGGACGCGAGCGUUAUCCGGAUUCAUUGGGUUUAAAGGGUGCGCAGGCGGCCGUGUAAGUCAGCGGUGAAAUGCAGGGGCACAACUCCGGCAGUGCCGUUGAUACUGCGUGGCUGGAAUGCGGUCGAGGCGAGCGGAAUGUGGCGUGUAGCGGUGAAAUGCGUAGAUAUGCCACAGAACUCCGAUAGCGAAGGCAGCCCGCCAGGCCUGCAUUGACGCUCAGGCACGAAAGCGUGGGGAUCGAAC